This 301-nucleotide ribosomal RNA is filed under the name uncultured bacterium. Its description in RNAcentral is "partial 16S ribosomal RNA". It matches the Rfam family "Bacterial small subunit ribosomal RNA", at positions 509 to 807 of the family's 1533-position model. The record is from RNAcentral.
CAGUAGCCGCGGUAAUACGUAGGGUGCAAGCGUUAAUCGGAAUUACUGGGCGUAAAGCGUGCGCAGGCGGUUCGGAAAGAAAGAUGUGAAAUCCCAGAGCUUAACUUUGGAACUGCAUUUUUAACUACCGGGCUAGAGUGUGUCAGAGGGAGGUGGAAUUCCGCGUGUAGCAGUGAAAUGCGUAGAUAUGCGGAGGAACACCGAUGGCGAAGGCAGCCUCCUGGGAUAACACUGACGCUCAUGCACGAAAGCGUGGGGAGCAAACAGGAUUAGAUACCCGAGUAGUCCCUGUCUCUUAUAC